This 440-nucleotide ribosomal RNA is filed under the name uncultured bacterium. RNAcentral describes it as "partial 16S ribosomal RNA". It matches the Rfam family "Bacterial small subunit ribosomal RNA", at positions 338 to 795 of the family's 1533-position model. The record is from RNAcentral.
CCUACGGGCGGCAGCAGUGGGGAAUAUUGGACAAUGGGGGGAACCCUGAUCCAGCGACGCCGCGUGAGUGAAGAAGUAUUUCGGUAUGUAAAGCUCUAUCAGCAGGGAAGAAAAUGACGGUACUUGACUCAGAAGCCCCGGCUAACUACGUGACAGCAGCCGCGGUAAUACGUAGGGGGCAAGCGUUAUCCGGGUUUACUGGGUGUAAAGGGAGCGUAGACGGCAGCGCAAGUCUGGAGUGAAAUCCCAUGGCUUAACCAUGGAACUGCUUUGGAAACUGUGCAGCUAGAGUGCAGGAGAGGUAAGCGGAAUGCCUAGUGUAGCGGUGAAAUGCGUAGAUAUUAGGAGGAACACCAGUGGCGAAGGCGGCUUACUGGACUGUAACUGACGUUGAGGCUCGAAAGCGUGGGGAGCAAACAGGAUUAGAUACCCCGGUAGUC